UACGUAGGUGGCAAGCGUUGUCCGGAUUUAUUGGGUUUAAAGGGUGCGUAGGCGGUCUUAUAAGUCAGUGCUGAAAUAUCCCGGCUUAACCGGGAGGGUGGCAUUGAUACUGUAGGACUUGAGUAAAGUUGAGGUUGGCGGAAUUGACGGUGUAGCGGUGAAAUGCUUAGAUAUCGUCAAGAACACCGAUAGUGUAGACAGCUAACUAAGCUUCAACUGACGCUGAGGCACGAAAGUGUGGGGAUCAAACAGG
This 253-nucleotide ribosomal RNA is filed under the name uncultured bacterium. RNAcentral describes it as "partial 16S ribosomal RNA". It matches the Rfam family "Bacterial small subunit ribosomal RNA", at positions 524 to 776 of the family's 1533-position model. The record is from RNAcentral.